RNAcentral lists this non-coding RNA (29 nucleotides) under Homo sapiens (human). Lineage: Eukaryota; Metazoa; Chordata; Mammalia; Primates; Hominidae. The record is from RNAcentral.
UCUGCUCAAAGGGCUGAAGUUAUGGCUGU